AGCUUUGCGCAGUGGCAGUAUCGUAGCCAAAGAGGUUUAUCCGAGGCGUGAUUAUUGCUAAUUGAAAAACUUCUCAUAAUUUGGAAUACAGUUAUACCAUUUUGCCCCAUUUUGCAUCUACUAUGAGAUCUCCCAACAUCUUAAAUGAUUUCUAAAUU
This 158-nucleotide small nuclear RNA is filed under the name Zalophus californianus (California sea lion). Its description in RNAcentral is "U4 spliceosomal RNA (ENSZCAG00015003387.1)". It matches the Rfam family "U4 spliceosomal RNA". From Rfam's summary of the family: U4 small nuclear RNA (U4 snRNA) is a component of the major U2-dependent spliceosome. The record is from RNAcentral. Lineage: Eukaryota; Metazoa; Chordata; Mammalia; Carnivora; Otariidae.